CACACGGGCGGGAUGGAAGGUUUCUCUCUCAUGGGGAGCUGGUUUAUUGUUGAACUGUGGGCCGGGGUUACGUCUUACGAUAUGAUAUCGUCUGUAAUUUGUAUGUAAAUACUUGCGUGUAAUCUAUGCUUUGUCAAAAACCUCUAUUCAAUUAAACAUCCUGACGGCUGGAUUUUCUCGUGGUCAACGUGUACAUUCGCAAUGGAUUAGCUGCCUGCAUCCGAAAGAAAACCAGCGCGUAGACAAAAAGAGGAGAAGAAGUAAUCUUUAACACGGCCUGAGGCACUCGUCUAUCACCGCCAAAUACAAAGGUCCACGACACAAAACCAGCACACUAUGCAGCUAACAAAGAAGACUAGGCGUGAAUAAAGGAUGGCAGUGAAUGGGCCGAACCUGAUGAAGGUAGAAUGGAAAAAAAGCAGUCGUGGUUCAAACAGAUGUGCGUGCAGAGGAUGUUCAGGACGAGAAAUGCAUUGAUCCAUCCAGCUGAGCGACCAGGACCAUGUGACGGGCCGAUCAGCCUCACACAUACGGUCACACGGCGCAACGUACACAACGAUGUGGCCUUUAGCUCCUCACUGAACUCCAGUUUCC
Molecule: long non-coding RNA, 594 nt
Organism: Gasterosteus aculeatus aculeatus (three-spined stickleback)
Lineage: Eukaryota; Metazoa; Chordata; Actinopteri; Perciformes; Gasterosteidae
Source: Ensembl